RNAcentral lists this long non-coding RNA (244 nucleotides) under Lupinus angustifolius (narrow-leaved blue lupine). RNAcentral describes it as "long non-coding RNA (LANG_LNC001722)". Lineage: Eukaryota; Viridiplantae; Streptophyta; Magnoliopsida; Fabales; Fabaceae. The record is from RNAcentral.
UAAAGUUGUAUAAAGUUUUGGAGAAGAUGUGGCUCAUAAGAUACACUUAUGGAAUGCUAGUGGAAGUGGAUGGAUACAAAUGAAAUGAAGAAGAGUGGAGUAUAAUUAGAAGAAGCAGCAAGAAUUAAUUAUAGAAAGACAACGAUGCAGUUAUUGGAAGGAAAGCAUAUAAUGUUGAAUUUGUUAGAAGGAUCCCACAAUACUGCUUUUGUUAUUGAGGAUAAGAUCCACCAGACAAGACCAC